AGCAGCCGCGGUAAUUCCAGCUCCAAUAGCGUAUAUUAAAGUUGUUGCAGUUAAAAAGCUCGUAGUUGAAUUUCGGGAUCAUCAGGUUGGUCGUGCCUCUGGUAUGUAGUGAUUUCGAUGGUUCCUCCUUCUUGAAGAACCGUAAUGCCAUUAAUUUGGUGUUGCGGGGAAACAGGACUGUUACUUUAGAAAAAAUUAGAGUGUUUAAAGCAGGCAAUCGCUUGAAUACAUUAGCAUGGAAUAAUGAAAUAGGACGUUCGAUCCUAUUUUGUUGGUUUCUAGGAUUGACGCAAUGAUUAAUAGGGAUAGGUUGGGGGCAUUAGUAUUCAAUUGUCAGAGGUGAAAUUCUUGGAUUUUAUUGAAGACUAACUACUGCGAAAGCAUUUGCCAAGGAUGUCUUCAUUAAUCAAGAACGAAAGUUAGGGGAUCGAAGACGAUCAGAUACCGUCGUAGUCUUAACCAUAAACUAUGCCGACGUAGGGAUCGGAUGAUGUUUAAUUUUUUAUAGUACUCUAGUUAC
Molecule: ribosomal RNA, 520 nt
Filed under: uncultured fungus
Lineage: Eukaryota; Fungi
Description: SSU rRNA
Rfam family: Eukaryotic small subunit ribosomal RNA
Source: RNAcentral